This is a long non-coding RNA of Acinonyx jubatus (cheetah), 2817 nucleotides long. RefSeq lists it as uncharacterized. The transcript has 2 exons. The record is from RefSeq and is a predicted model, not a curated record. NCBI's taxonomy places the organism in Eukaryota, Metazoa, Chordata, Mammalia, Carnivora, Felidae.
GCCGGGCCCGGGCCCGCCCCCACGCAGCCGGCUCUCGGCCAAUGAGCGCGCAGGGCCGCGGCGAUCGCCAAGUAUGGAGCGCGGCGCGGGGGGGAGGAGCGCCGAAGGGGGAAGUGAGGGGCGGGGCCUGCGAGCGGGGCGGAGCUGGGCGCGGCGGCUGGCGGGGUGGGCGGGUCCGUCCGAGGCGCGGGGACCCGGCCGGGGGGGCUGUCAGGGGGUUUCCGCCCGCACCCACGCCCUAAGUCGCACUCGGUGGCUACCGAGGCGGGGGUGGCGGAGCGACAGUGCGCGCGGGCCUCCGGGGCGGGGACGAGGAGGGCCCUGGGACCGGGAGGGGUCAGGCCCGGCCCUGCCCUCCCCUCCCGGUGCACCCGCUGUCUCCCGCGCGGACCCGGAACUGGUGUUGCGGCGGGCCGGUCGGUCCCGGGGAGAGCGUCCGAGCGAUCCCGAGGUGUGAUCGCAGCGCCACCACUUGCUACGUGGGGACCUGGAUCAAGUCGCUGCACCUGAGCCGAAUCUCUUAAAAAAAAAAAAAAAAAAAAAAGGAGCCCUAGGCCACGCCAUUCAUUGGGCGCCCACUGUAUACCAGGCCCUGUUGGGGGCACCGAAAGAGAGUUGCACUCGACGUGAAGAUGCCCUCAGAGCUACCUGCCGCAGGUAGCUGUGAGGACCCCGCAGGUAGAGAUUAGAAAACUGGACUCAGGAAAUGUUAGGCGUUUACGACUGUUUUUAAAUGUGCUACAGAGAACCAGCCCAGUCGCCCAGUGGGGUUGCCUCACUCCACAGAGUGACUCAGAAAGUUUUUUUUUUCCUUUUCCUUUUUUCUCUCUCACUCGCUCCAUUCAACAACUAUCUGUUGAGCUUGGUCUAGAAAGCAGAACUAGGAUUCUGGCCGUGCUGAUAAUACCUGCCCUCCCUGGCUUGCUCACUCUAUUUUGUGAGAAUCAAAUCAGGUCAGCUGCGACAGGAUUGUAACUGGUUAGUGUUGCACAAAUGGUGGGAAUUGUUACCACAGGUCAGGCCAUGUCCUAGGCCCCCAUCCUCAGGGAGCUCAGAGUCAAAUAAAAGCUGCCACUGGCAUCAAAAUCAAUACAAGUAAGUGAUUAAGGCCUGUGUUACGGGAAUUCAAAGAGAGUGGGACUUAAGAAUUUUUUCAGUUGGUAAGCAUUUAUUGAGCACCUACUGUAUACUGAGCACUGUUCUAGGCUCUAAGGAUAGAGUAAUGAAUUUGACAGUCCCAGUCCAUGACGUGAUAGAGGUGGACCCUUGGAGGAAAGACAAUCACCUGGUAAGUAAAGAUCGUGUCAGGUGGUGAUUAGAGGUGGAGAACACUCAGGGCAAGGGAAUAGGCAGGCAGAUUAGCCAAGUGGGGCAAGGGGAGGGCUAAUUUAGAAAGUAACAUUUGAUCACAGGGAGGCACAAGAACCAGAUAGGGCACAGACCCAAAGGGGACAGUCUCUGGUGUGUUCAUGGACCAAGGAGGCCCAUGGACUGGGCAGCCCAGUUUAACUAGGGGGAGAGCCCUGGAAGCUGAGGUCGGAGGGACACCAAGCAGUGACACGAUCAGGCCUAGGCUUGAGCAGGAUCAGGAGGUUGCUGUGUUCUGAAUGGACUGUAGGGGGCUAGGGCCGGUAGAAAGCUAUUUAAGGCAUGUUUUAUUUAUUUAAAAAGCACUUAAAUGGGGUUUCCUACGUGAUGAACACCGUUAGGCACUUUACAAAUAAUAAUUCACUUCAUCCUCAAAACAGAGGCCCGAACAGGUAAACUGAAAGUCACACAGCAGAGAGACGAAGGUGCCUACUACCCUGGGGACACAGUGGACGCAGCAAGGGAAGACCCCUUUCUGGAUGUUUGCUGAUGACCUGGCGGUGGGCACAGGAAGAAGAAAGGAGUCAGGAAUGAUGCUAAGAUUUUUAGCUUGAUCAACAGUGGAAGGGUACUGAAGGGCCCAAGACAUCCAGGUGAGUUCACUUAAGAGGUGAAUGUAGAGGAGAAGAGGUCAAGAAGAUAAAGAGGAACCAGCAAGGAGACUGAGAAGGAGUGACCUGGGAGGGUAGCAAGAGGACGAAGAGAAGGUGAUGUCCUUUUUUUAAUUUUUUUUAUUUUUAUUCUUGAGAGAGACAGAGAAAGACAGGGUGUGAGUGGAGGAGGGGCAGAGAGAGAGGGGGAGACACACAAUCCAAAGCAGGCUCUAGGCUCUGAACUGUCAGCACAGAGCUGGAUGCGGGGCUCGAACUCACGAGCCACGAGCUCAUCAGCUGAGCUGAAGUCAGACGCUGAACCGACUGAGCCACCCAGGCACUCCAGGUGGUGUCCCUUCUUAAAGGCAGGGGAUAAGAGUAUGAGGGAAAGGUUUAUGAUAGAAUAACACUUGAACUGUUUACUUGAAAAAAAUAAGACUGACAGGGAACCUUGCUGUUCCAAAUGCAUUACCUGUAUUUUCUCAUUUAAUCCUCAUACAACCCUGUGAGGUCAGUGCCUAUUAUUCCCAUUUCACAGAUGAGGGAGCUAAGGCACACAGAGGUUAAGAAACUUGCUCCAGACCACAUAGCUAAUGAAUUCAAAGCCAGGCAGUCUGGGAACAGAGCCCACAUCCGUAACCCUAAGUCUGAUCCUGUUGCUUCGCUGCUCACAAAGUUAAGUCACAUCUGGGGCACCUAGGUGGCUCAGUCGGUUGAGCAUCCGACUUCCACUCGGGUCACGAUCUCGCAGUUUCUGAGUUCGUGCCCUGCAUCGGGCUCUGUGCUGUCAGCACGGAGCCUGCUUUGGAUCCUCUGUUCCCCUCUCUCUGCCCCUCCCCUGCAUGCUCUCUCUCUC